This 373-nucleotide ribosomal RNA is filed under the name Escherichia coli. Its description in RNAcentral is "bacterial LSU rRNA". It matches the Rfam family "Bacterial large subunit ribosomal RNA", at positions 2575 to 2925 of the family's 2925-position model. Lineage: Bacteria; Pseudomonadati; Pseudomonadota; Gammaproteobacteria; Enterobacterales; Enterobacteriaceae. The record is from RNAcentral.
GGCUGUUCGCCAUUUAAAGUGGUACGCGAGCUGGGUUUAGAACGUCGUGAGACAGUUCGGUCCCUAUCUGCCGUGGGCGCUGGAGAACUGAGGGGGGCUGCUCCUAGUACGAGAGGACCGGAGUGGACGCAUCACUGGUGUUCGGGUUGUCAUGCCAAUGGCACUGCCCGGUAGCUAAAUGCGGAAGAGAUAAGUGCUGAAAGCAUCUAAGCACGAAACUUGCCCCGAGAUGAGUUCUCCCUGAGACUUAGAGUCUCCUGAAGGAACGUUGAAGACGACGACGUUGAUAGGCCGGGUGUGUAAGCGCAGCGAUGCGUUGAGCUAACCGGUACUAAUGAACCGUGAGGCUUAACCUUACAACGCCGAAGCUGUU